RNAcentral lists this small nucleolar RNA (209 nucleotides) under Jaculus jaculus (lesser Egyptian jerboa). RNAcentral's name for it is "Small nucleolar RNA U3 (ENSJJAG00000002517.1)". It matches the Rfam family "Small nucleolar RNA U3". From Rfam's summary of the family: Small nucleolar RNAs (snoRNAs) are involved in the processing and modification of rRNA in the nucleolus. There are two main classes of snoRNAs: the box C/D class, and the box H/ACA class. Lineage: Eukaryota; Metazoa; Chordata; Mammalia; Rodentia; Dipodidae. The record is from RNAcentral.
AAAGGCGUGCGCCACCACGCCGGCUUGGGGGUCGUUUCUGUAGUUUGUGACUGUGAAGAGCAUCGGAAACCACGGGAGGAGGCGCAGCGCCCUCUCCCCAGCGUGAAGCGGCUCUUGGUGUCGCUUUGCAUCAACUGCCACUUGCCAAUGAUGAUGGCUCCUGCUCUCCUUUUAGGGGAGCUGGAGGGAGAGAAUCCAGCCUGAGUGGC